GUAGGGGGGGCAAGCGUUGUCCGGAAUUAUUGGGCGUAGAGCGCGCGCAGGCGGCUAUUUAAGUCUGGGUGGUUUAAACCUUGGGGCUCAACCUGAGGUCGCACUGGAAACUGGGUGGCUUGAGUACAGAAGAGGAAAGUGGAAUUCCACGUGUAGCGGUGAAAUGCGUAGAGAUGUGGAGGAACACCAGUGGCGAAGGCGACUUUCUGGGCUGUAACUGACGCUGAGGCGCGAAAGCGUGGGGAGCAAACAGGAUUAGAUACCCUGGUAGUCCACGCCGUAAACGAUGAGUGCUAGGUGUUAGGGGUUUCGAUACCCUUGGUGCCGAAGUUAACACAGUAAGCACUCCGCCUGGGGAGUACGGUCGCAAGACUG
This 375-nucleotide ribosomal RNA is filed under the name uncultured organism. Its description in RNAcentral is "partial 16S ribosomal RNA". It matches the Rfam family "Bacterial small subunit ribosomal RNA", at positions 525 to 896 of the family's 1533-position model. The record is from RNAcentral.